RNAcentral lists this ribosomal RNA (244 nucleotides) under uncultured Eubacteriales bacterium. RNAcentral's name for it is "uncultured Clostridiales bacterium partial 16S ribosomal RNA". It matches the Rfam family "Bacterial small subunit ribosomal RNA", at positions 1138 to 1382 of the family's 1533-position model. The record is from RNAcentral. Lineage: Bacteria; Bacillati; Bacillota; Clostridia; Eubacteriales.
CUCUAAAGAGACUGCGAUGACAAAUCGGAGGAAGGUGGGGAUGACGUCAAAUCAUCAUGCCCUUUAUGUCCUGGGCUACACACGUGCUACAAUGGUCGGUACAACGAGAAGCAAGCCAGCGAUGGCAAGCAAAUCUCUAAAAGCCGAUCCCAGUUCGGAUUGCAGGCUGCAACUCGCCUGCAUGAAGUCGGAGUUGCUAGUAAUCGCGGAUCAGAAUGCCGCGGUGAAUGCGUUCCCGGGUCUU